GGCCUAAAGCAUCCGUAGCCGGUCUUGCAAGUCUUCCGUUAAAUCCAGCUGCUUAACAGAUGGGCUGCGGAGGAUACUACAAGGCUAGGAGGCGGGAGAGGCAAGCGGUACUCGAUGGGUAGGGGUAAAAUCCGUUGAUCCAUUGAAGACCACCAGUGGCGAAGGCGGCUUGCCAGAACGCGCUCGACGGUGAGGGAUGAAAGCUGGGGGAGCAAACCGGAUUAGAUACCCGGGUAGUCCCAGCUGUAAACGAUGCAGACUCGGUGAUGAGUUGGCUUAUUGCUAACUCAGUGCCGCAGGGAAGCCGUUAAGUUUGCCGCCUGGGGAGUACGGUCGCAAGACUGAAACUUAAAGGAAUUGGCGGGGAGCACCACAAGGGGUGAAGCCUGCGGUUCAAUUGGAGUCAACGCCGGAAAUCUUACCGGGGGCGACAGCAGAGUGAAGGUCAAGCUGAAGACUUUACCAGACAAGCUGAGAGGAGGUGCAUGGCCGUCGCCAGCUCGUGCCGUGAGGUGUCCUGUUAAGUCAGGUAACGAGCGAGAUCCCUGCCUCUAGUUGCUACCAUUAUUCUCAGGAGUAGUGGAGCUAAUUAGAGGGACCGCCGUCGCUGAGACGGAGGAAGGUGGGGGCUACGGCAGGUCAGUAUGCCCCGAAACCCUCGGGCCACACGCGGGCUGCAAUGGUAAGGACAAUGAGUUUCGAUUCCGAAAGGAGGAGGCAAUCUCUAAACCUUACCACAGUUAUGAUUGAGGGCUGAAACUCGCCCUCAUGAAUAUGGAAUCCCUAGUAACCGC
Molecule: ribosomal RNA, 794 nt
Filed under: uncultured crenarchaeote
Lineage: Archaea; Thermoproteati; Thermoproteota
Description: bacterial SSU rRNA
Rfam family: Archaeal small subunit ribosomal RNA
Source: RNAcentral